GUGGGGAAUAUUGCACAAUGGGCGCAAGCCUGAUGCAGCCAUGCCGCGUGUGUGAAGAAGGCCUUCGGGUUGUAAAGCACUUUCAGCGGGGAGGAAGGCGUUAAGGUUAAUAACCUUGGCGAUUGACGUUACCCGCAGAAGAAGCACCGGCUAACUCCGUGCCAGCAGCCGCGGUAAUACGGAGGGUGCAAGCGUUAAUCGGAAUUACUGGGCGUAAAGCGCACGCAGGCGGUCUGUCAAGUCGGAUGUGAAAUCCCCGGGCUCAACCUGGGAACUGCAUUCGAAACUGGCAGGCUAGAGUCUUGUAGAGGGGGGUAGAAUUCCAGGUGUAGCGGUGAAAUGCGUAGAGAUCUGGAGGAAUACCGGUGGCGAAGGCGGCCCCCUGGACAAAGACUGACGCUCAGGUGCGAAAGCGUGGGGAGCAAACAGGA
This 431-nucleotide ribosomal RNA is filed under the name uncultured bacterium. RNAcentral's name for it is "bacterial SSU rRNA". It matches the Rfam family "Bacterial small subunit ribosomal RNA", at positions 354 to 777 of the family's 1533-position model. The record is from RNAcentral.